UGUCAUUACCCACGGUUUGUGGAAUAAAAGAGAAUUGUUUCUGCUUAAAGUAAUCUCAGAUUUGUUCCUGUCAUUGACUCUUACACAGGAAGCCUCUGGUGGAACUGAUGACCAAAUGACAAGGGUCCGUUCCAACCUGGAAAUAUCAAAGGAUGACACUGAAGCCUCUGGUGGAACUGAUGACCAAAUGACAAGGGUCCGUUCCAACCUGGAAAUAUCAAAGGAUGACACUGAAGCCUCUGGUGGAACUGAUGACCAAAUGACAAGGGUCCGUUCCAACCUGGAAAUAUCAAAGGAUGACACUGAAGCCUCUGGUGGAACUGAUGACCAAAUGACAAGGGUCCGUUCCAACCUGGAAAUAUCAAAGGAUGACACUGAAGCCUCUGGUGGAACUGAUGACCAAAUGACAAGGGUCCGUUCCAACCUGGAAAUAUCAAAGGAUGACACUGAAGCCUCUGGUGGAACUGAUGACCAAAUGACAAGGGUCCGUUCCAACCUGGAAAUAUCAAAGGAUGACACUGAAGCCUCUGGUGGAACUGAUGACCAAAUGACAAGGGUCCGUUCCAACCUGGAAAUAUCAAAGGAUGACACUGAAGCCUCUGGUGGAACUGAUGACCAAAUGACAAGGGUCCGUUCCAACCUGGAAAUAUCAAAGGAUGACACUGAAGCCUCUGGUGGAACUGAUGACCAAAUGACAAGGGUCCGUUCCAAUCUGGAAAUAUCAAAGGAUGACACUGAAGCCUCUGGUGGAACUGAUGACCAAAUGACAAGGGUCCGUUCCAACCUGGAAAUAUCAAAGGAUGACACUGAAGCCUCUGGUGGAACUGAUGACCAAAUGACAAGGGUCCGUUCCAAUCUGGAAAUAUCAAAGGAUGACACUGAAGCCUCUGGUGGAACUGAUGACCAAAUGACAAGGGUCCGUUCCAACCUGGAAAUAUCAAAGGAUGACACUGAAGCCUCUGGUGGAACUGAUGACCAAAUGACAAGGGUCCGUUCCAACCUGGAAAUAUCAAAGGAUGACACUGAAGCCUCUGGUGGAACUGAUGACCAAAUGACAAGGGUCCGUUCCAAUCUGGAAAUAUCAAAGGAUGACACUGUAAGUUGUAUACUAUAUACUUGUGAUGUCAUGCUUGUACAUCCAAUCAUAAUUCUGUUGUGUUUGAGGAUAUGACAGUGCUCAGGAGUCCACACACUGUUGAAUGUUGU
RNAcentral lists this long non-coding RNA (1206 nucleotides) under Sparus aurata (gilthead seabream). Its description in RNAcentral is "lncRNA (ENSSAUG00010015818.1)". The record is from RNAcentral. Lineage: Eukaryota; Metazoa; Chordata; Actinopteri; Spariformes; Sparidae.